Molecule: ribosomal RNA, 254 nt
Filed under: uncultured bacterium
Lineage: Bacteria
Description: partial 16S ribosomal RNA
Rfam family: Bacterial small subunit ribosomal RNA
Source: RNAcentral
GACGAACCGUGCGAACGUUAUUCGGAAUCACUGGGCUUAAAGCGCGUGUAGGCGGGAGGGCACGUCCGUUGCUGAAAUCCCCCGGCUCAACCGGGGAACGGGCGCGGAUACGACCUUCCUGGAGGGGCGUAGGGGGACCUGGAAUUUCCGGUGGAGCGGUGAAAUGCGUAGAGAUCGGAAAGAACACCAACGGCGAAAGCACUCUGCUGGGCCGACACUGACACUGAGAGACGAAAGCUAGGGGAGCGAAUGGG